This 261-nucleotide long non-coding RNA is filed under the name Oryza brachyantha (malo sina). RNAcentral's name for it is "long non-coding RNA (OBRA_LNC002940)". The record is from RNAcentral. Lineage: Eukaryota; Viridiplantae; Streptophyta; Magnoliopsida; Poales; Poaceae.
UACAUUUAUUUGAAUUACAUCUGACCAUGGACUACGUGUGGGCCAAACCGCAUCAUAGACAAGACUCCUGCUUACAAUAAUAAUAACACAAUUGUUUAAGAUCAAAUAAACUGCCUAUAAAACAAGUAGCAAAACGAAAAACAAGCUAUUACAAUCAUCAUCAAUAAUGGUCAAAUAAAAGCUAAUUGAGAGUUCAAGACUAUUAGUUGAGAUUCACCCGUUUCAGAGAUCUGGAACCAUGCCCAUCACCAUGCUGCACAA